Molecule: unclassified non-coding RNA, 515 nt
Filed under: uncultured Diversispora
Lineage: Eukaryota; Fungi; Glomeromycota; Glomeromycetes; Diversisporales; Diversisporaceae
Description: SSU rRNA
Rfam family: Eukaryotic small subunit ribosomal RNA
Source: RNAcentral
AGCAGCCGCGGUAAUUCCAGCUCCAAUAGCGUAUAUUAAAGUUGUUGCAGUUAAAAAGCUCGUAGUUGAAUUUCGGGAUUGGCGCAUCGGUCGUGCCUCACGGGGUAUGAACUGGUGCAGUCAAUUUCUCACCUUCUGGAGAACCGCGAUGUCCUUAAUUGGAUGCCGCGGGGAACCAGGACCUUUACUUUGAAAAAAUUAGAGUGUUUAAAGCAGGCAUUUUUGCUUGAAUACAUUAGCAUGGAAUAAUAAAAUAGGACGGCAUGGUUCUAUUUUGUUGGUUUCUAGGACCACCGUAAUGAUUAAUAGGGAUAGUUGGGGGCAUUAGUAUUCAAUUGUCAGAGGUGAAAUUCUUGGAUUUAUUGAAGACUAACUACUGCGAAAGCAUUUGCCAAGGAUGUUUUCAUUAAUCAAGAACGAAAGUUAGGGGAUCGAAGACGAUCAGAUACCGUCGUAGUCUUAACCAUAAACUAUGCCGACUAGGAAUCAGACGAUGUUAAUUUUUUCAAUGACUC